This 200-nucleotide ribosomal RNA is filed under the name uncultured bacterium. RNAcentral's name for it is "partial 16S ribosomal RNA". It matches the Rfam family "Bacterial small subunit ribosomal RNA", at positions 30 to 230 of the family's 1533-position model. The record is from RNAcentral.
AUUGAACGCUGGCGGCAUGCCUUACACACGCAAGUCGAACGGCAGCACGGGGGCAACCCUGGUGGCGAGUGGCGAACGGGUGAGUAACAUAUCGGAACGUGCCCUGGAGUGGGGGAUAUCUAGUCGAAAGAUUAGCUAAUACCGCAUACGAUCUACGGAUGAAAGUGGGGGAUCGCAAGACCUCAUGCUCGUGGAGCGGC